CCCUUAGACGUUCUGGGCCGCACGCGCGCUACACUGACCAGUGCAACAAGCAUCCGUCCUUGGCCGACAGGCCCGGGCAAUCUUUGAACGCUGGUCGUGAUGGGGAUAGACUUUUGCAAUUUUUGGUCUUCAACGAGGAAUUCCUAGUAAACGCAAGUCAUCAACUUGCAUUGAUUACGUCCCUGCCCUUUGUACACACCGCCCGUCGCACCUACCGAUUGAAUGGUCCGGUGAAGCCUCCGGAUUGGCGCGCACCUCGGUGCCGCCGAGAAGUUGGCUAAACCUUACCAUUUAGAGGAAGGUGAAGUCGUAACAA
This 316-nucleotide ribosomal RNA is filed under the name uncultured eukaryote. Its description in RNAcentral is "partial 18S ribosomal RNA". It matches the Rfam family "Eukaryotic small subunit ribosomal RNA", at positions 1470 to 1797 of the family's 1831-position model. The record is from RNAcentral.